UGGGGAAUAUUGCGCAAUGGGCGAAAGCCUGACGCAGCGACGCCGCGUGGGGGAUGAAGCUUCUCGGAGUGUAAACCCCUUUCGACCCGGACGAAUGACCCGCAAGGGUUUGACGGUACGGGUAUAAGAAGCCCCGGCUAACUACGUGCCAGCAGCCGCGGUAAUACGUAGGGGGCCAGCGUUGCUCGGAAUUACUGGGCGUAAAGGGUUCGUAGGCGGUGCGGCAAGUUGGGAGUGAAAUCUCUGGGCUUAACUCAGGGGCUGCUUUCAAAACUGCCGCGCUCGAGUGCGAGAGAGGUCAGUGGAAUUGCAGGUGUAGCGGUGAAAUGCGUAGAUAUCUGCAGGAACACCCGUGGCGAAGGCGGCUGACUGGAUCGCAACUGACGCUGAGGAACGAAAGCUAGGGGAGCAAACAGGAUUAGAUACCCUGGUAGUCCUAGCCCUAAACCAUCAGAACUUGGGGUGGCCCGCGUAGGCGGGUCGUCCCGUAGCUAACGCGCUAAGUUCUGCGCCUGGGGAGUACGGUCGCAAGACUG
This 536-nucleotide ribosomal RNA is filed under the name uncultured bacterium. RNAcentral's name for it is "bacterial SSU rRNA". It matches the Rfam family "Bacterial small subunit ribosomal RNA", at positions 355 to 896 of the family's 1533-position model. The record is from RNAcentral.